RNAcentral lists this ribosomal RNA (377 nucleotides) under uncultured delta proteobacterium. Its description in RNAcentral is "bacterial SSU rRNA". It matches the Rfam family "Bacterial small subunit ribosomal RNA", at positions 521 to 896 of the family's 1533-position model. Lineage: Bacteria; Deltaproteobacteria. The record is from RNAcentral.
UAAUACGGAGGGUGCAAGCGUUGUUCGGAAUCACUGGGCGUAAAGGGCGCGCAGGCGGUCCUAUUAGCCAGAUGUGAAAGCCCACGGCUCAACCGUGGAAGUGCAUUUGAAACUGUAGGACUUGAGUAUCAGAGGGGAAAGUGGAAUUCCCGGUGUAGAGGUGAAAUUCGUAGAUAUCGGGAGGAAUACCGGUGGCGAAGGCGACUUUCUGGCUGAAUACUGACGCUGAGGCGCGAAAGCGUGGGGAGCAAACAGGAUUAGAUACCCUGGUAGUCCACGCCGUAAACGAUGUGCACUAGAUGUAGGAGGUAUUGAUCCCUUCUGUGUCGCAGCUAACGCAUUAAGUGCACCGCCUGGGGAGUACGGUCGCAAGAUUA